AACGAACGCUGGCGGCAUGCCUAACACAUGCAAGUCGAACGAGACCUUCGGGUCUAGUGGCGCACGGGUGCGUAACGCGUGGGAACCUGCCCUUAGGUUCGGAAUAACUCCCCGAAAGGGGUGCUAAUACCGGAUAAUGUCUUCGGACCAAAGAUUUAUCGCCUUUGGAUGGGCCCGCGUUGGAUUAGCUAGUUGGUAGGGUAAAAGCCUACCAAGGCGACGAUCCAUAGCUGGUCUGAGAGGAUGAUCAGCCACACUGGGACUGAGACACGGCCCAGACUACUACGGGAGGCAGCAGUGGGGAAUACUGGACAAUGGGCGAAAGCCUGAUCCAGCAAUGCCGCGUGAGUGAUGAAGGCCGUAGGGUUGUAAAGCUCUUUUACCCGGGACGAUAAUGACAGUACCGGGAGAAUAAGCACCGGCUAACUCCGUG
RNAcentral lists this ribosomal RNA (433 nucleotides) under uncultured bacterium. Its description in RNAcentral is "partial 16S ribosomal RNA". It matches the Rfam family "Bacterial small subunit ribosomal RNA", at positions 29 to 507 of the family's 1533-position model. The record is from RNAcentral.